AUACGGAGGAUGCGAGCGUUAUCCGGAUUCAUUGGGUAUAAAGGGUGCGUAGGCGGCCCCCCAAGUCAGCGGUGAAAUGUCCGGGCCCAACCCGGAGGGUGCCGUUGAUACUGCGGGGCUGGAGUACGGACGCCGGCGGAGGAAUGAGUGGUGCAGCGGUGAAAUGCAUAGAUAUCACUCAGAAAACCGAUUGCGAAGGCAUCCGCCGAGGCCGUUACUGACGCUGAGGCACGAAAGCGUGGGGAUAGAACAGGAUUAGAUACCCUGGUAUUCCACGCCGUAAACGAUGAUGACUAACCGCCGGGCGGAAUGACGUCCGGCAGCCAAGCGAAAGCGAUAAGUCAUCCACCUGGGGAGUACGGCCGCAAGGCUGAAACUCAAAUGAAUUGGCGGGG
RNAcentral lists this ribosomal RNA (395 nucleotides) under uncultured bacterium. Its description in RNAcentral is "partial 16S ribosomal RNA". It matches the Rfam family "Bacterial small subunit ribosomal RNA", at positions 523 to 918 of the family's 1533-position model. The record is from RNAcentral.